UAAAGAGUUUCUCGCAGAAGAAGAAUUUUUUUUUAAAUUAAAAAAAUUCUAACUACUAUGCUAAAUCAUCAUUAGUAUGCUAAUAUUGCUAUCAGUAAAGUUUUUCGAUGCAAUUUGACCAAAAUCAGUUGAAAAGACUAUACGAAACCACACAUAAAAAAUCUGAAUAUCUUAUUAGAGAUUUUUAAAUUAUAAAAAUUAUUUAAAAUAUUACUAUACAUUACUU
Molecule: long non-coding RNA, 226 nt
Filed under: Elaeis guineensis (African oil palm)
Lineage: Eukaryota; Viridiplantae; Streptophyta; Magnoliopsida; Arecales; Arecaceae
Description: long non-coding RNA (EGUI_LNC005060)
Source: RNAcentral